AUCAUUUCACCAGUUUCUUUUCACGAAUACCGAGAGAAACCGAGCGGUGUUCUUCGUGUUCUUCAUAAUCAAACGAAGAUUUGAAGGUGUUAUUGGAAUCCGAUGGAGGUGUAUGAAUAGUCAAAACGAAGCUAUCGACGCGUAGAAUCUAGUUUAAUCAUCCGUUUGUGUGCAGAUUCAACAGGUGAUUUUAGAUUAAUUUUAUAAAAUUCGAAUUAUUUGCUUUUAAAUGUUGAAUUUUUGCAAACGAUUCCGUUUAUGUGAUUUGAUGAUGUCAUGUUGUAGAGCGUGUUUUUCUCGUCGUUUUGGUAUAUUAUAUGUUGAAUUUCGAGUUCGGUAACAUAUAGAAAAUGGGGUUUAAUUCUUGUAAGCAUGUUCUUGGUGUUCUUGAGUUUCUUCGCCGGAAACUUUGAGUUUUGCCGGAUUUUUCGUUCGGUUGAAUCUGGGUAUAAACUAAAUAUGCCACUAGGUAGAUCGUAGGGAUAUGAGUUGAAUGGUGUAGAGAAAACGAGCAACGGAGGCGGGUUAUGGCCGCCGGAAAAUGUCGCCACCGUCGCUUACGGGGCGUUUUCCGGCCAGAUGGCCGCGUUUCUGCAUAAGUUAAGCUGUGAAAUGAGUUUGUGGGAGUGUGGGUAAGUGAUCUGGAGAGUUUGGAGGCCGUUGGAGGCCGGAGGAGCAUUUUCCGGCGACCUGGGGGCGGUGGCGGUGUAAAACUGCUAAACGGCCCCCAGGGUUUGAAAGAUGAUGAAGAUGUUGUACUCGGGUUUUGAAACUUACAAAUUACCCCCUGUAACUUCUAAAAGUUACAGUUUGAACCUUGGCCGAAAACUUUCAAAAGUUUACAAAAUAAACCUUUUGAUUUAAUUUUCUAAAAUUGUUUUAUUUAAUUAUUUUAAAUUCCAAAAAUAGUUUUUAAUUAUUUCUUUAUUCAAAAAUAAAUCUAAAUUAGUUUAUUAAUUAAUUUUAAUUAGUAAUUAAUUAUUUUAAUUGGUCAAUUAAUUUAAAUAUUAAUUGAUUAAUUAUUUUAAUUAAUUAUUAAUUGAUUUUAAUUGAUUAAUUAAUUGGAUUUAAUUAUCCUUUUUGAUUUAAAAAUUCCGAAAAAUAGUUUCGAGCUUUGAAAUAUUUUUCUAAAUUAUUUUCAAGGCUCUAUUAUUGUUUAUGAAUGAUUUCAAGUCCAAUUUCAAGUAUUUGGGACUUGAUUAUUUAUCCGAAAAGUGAUUCUUUUAUCGAGUUUAAUUCCGAAAAAUGUUUAAAAAUUCCAGAAAAUUCCCGAAAAAUCAUUUUUAACCCAAGAGUUGAUUUGAUAUCAAUCGGGGUGGGAAACCUUAUGUGUAAUGUGUUGUCUGCUAUCUGUUUGAUGUGUUAUGUGCCGAUAGAGGAGUUAGAAAACGGUUUUAAACAUAUCUUUUGAUCCGUAAGUCGGAAUCGAGUGAAACGAAAGAGAGGCAGAAGCUUAUAAAGUCUAGUUGGAUAUAACAUAAUAAUAUGAUGGAGUCGAGAAUGUGAAUAAUUGUUGUUAAAUGUGCCGAAUGUGAUUAUAUGUUAUUGGAUUGUUAUUAAUUGAUGAUUACGUGAUAUAUAUGUCUAUUCCUGAUAUUAUAUACGUGAUAAAUGACUUAUAUGACNGAUUUGGAUGACAUAGUGUCGUGANNNNNNNNNNNNNNNNNNNNNNNNNNNNNNNNNNNNNNNNNNNNNNNNNNNNNNNNNNNNNNNNNNNNNNNNNNNNNNNNNNNNNNNGGCGAGAUGAUGUCGGAUUUCGAUAGGAUUCAUAUGAUAAGUGAUUGGUAAUAUGUUAUGUGGAAUACGACUUGACUAUAUGAUAGAGUCAAAGCAUGAUUACGUGUUAAGUGAUAUGUGAUAAGUUUAAAGGGGUAUAUAAGUAGGUAUCGAUAUACGUGAUAUGUAUAUGCGAUAUAUUGUUUAGUGACUAUGGUAUUAUCUUAUUUUACGUGUUAAGUGAUAUGUGAUAAGUUUAAAGGGGUAUAUAAGUGGGUAUCGAUAUGCGUGAUAUGUAUAUACGAUCGAUUGAUUAGUGAUUAUAUUAUUAUCUUAUUCUCGUUAAGGAUUGGACGAGACGUGGAUGACCGAAGACGUUCAGAAGGACAAGUGGUGUUCCAAAGCGAAUAAAGAAUGAGUCGAGUAAGCGAAGUGGUGUGGCAAAUAGGGUAUAGCCAGAGAUGGUCUAGAGACUAUGAUAUGCAUAGAGUAUGAAGGUGGAAAGAUGAGAAUGAGCUGUGAGACGGGAGUCAGAUUUAAGGCAAGUAUCCUGAACCCUUCUUUUGGAUAUCUUGCGAUUAUUCUGAUCCAUUCUUUUCGUAUGUGUUGCAAAUAUUCGUUCCUCUCUUUUCAUAUUUGACAGUGUAAAUAUUUUAUCCAUCCUUUUCUAAACCUCAAAAAUUCAGAUAAUUCCAGUUUUACAAAUUAAUUCGAAGUUCAGAUUGUCAUUGAAGCAUGUGUUGCUCAGUGAUAGUUAGAGCUUUGAAUGAAUUGGGAUCUUCUUGAUUAUUCAAACCGCCAUUGUCAUGCUGGUUAGCAGGCUGAAUUCAGUUGCUUAGCCGAUAAUGGAGGAUACUGAAUAGUUAAGGAUUUAGCAGGCUAAAUUCAGUUGCUUAGCCGAUAAUGGAGGAUACUGAAUAGUUAAGGAUUUCCUGAACUAUGAUUUAUGGAAGGAUGGACUCUGGUUUAUGAAAAGUUGAUUAUCAAAGUUUGAUUUGGAAUUAUUCUAUCAUUGAUAUUGAUUGUGUUUAUGUUUUGUUGUUAUACGUUGACCUGUUAUUGAAUUAUAGAAUUGGAUUAUUGUUUUUAUAUAAACCUGUGGACCAGAUUCGUGGUCAUGUUAGGCCAAUGAGUGCCUUGGAUCCAGUGAUAGAGCAUGGCGGGGCCUGCUCGGGGUUAGUGCGGAACUGAUCAGCUGCCUAACCUUGGUUUUAAUUAAAAUGUGAUAGUCCAAUUCAAUAAUUCUUUUGGAAAAAUUGAAUUCCUCAGUAUUCAAUUGCUGCAAGGUAUUGUGAUUUUCUUAUACAAUACCUAAACUCGUGAACUCAGGUUGAAUCCUUUUAUAUCUUGAACUCUUGAACUUCUGUUAUAUCAUUUCAGAAUUAUCACUGUUUAUUACUACUUGCGGAGCAUUGUUGCUCACCCUUGCUAUUCCUUUCUAACCAUUUCAGAAAGGCUUAAAGAUGAGAUGAUUGAUUGAGAUUGUGAGUAAGGCUAAUGCUAGGCGAGGAGACAGAGUUGAGGAUCCAGUGGUCGAGGAGUGUUCAGGAAAGUUGAUGAGGUUGGUGCAAGCUGGAAUAGUUGACAGUGAUUCUUCUUAUCGAAGAUGAUCUGAUUUGGUAAGAGAUGUUGUGUAAUAAUAGUGGUAGAUUCUAAUUUCAAUACUGUAACCUGGAUGCGAUCCUGUUGUUUUGG
RNAcentral lists this long non-coding RNA (3411 nucleotides) under Daucus carota (carrot). Its description in RNAcentral is "long non-coding RNA (DCAR_LNC005488)". The record is from RNAcentral. Lineage: Eukaryota; Viridiplantae; Streptophyta; Magnoliopsida; Apiales; Apiaceae.